UACAGAGGGUGCAAGCGUUGUUUGGAAUUAUUGGGCGUAAAGGGCGCGUAGGCGGUGCUGUAAGUCUGUGGUGAAAUCUCUGGGCUCAACUCAGAGUCUGCCAUAGAAACUGCAGUGCUGGAGUGUGGGAGAGGUGAGUGGAAUUCCCGGUGUAGCGGUGAAAUGCGUAGAUAUCAGGAGGAACACCUGCGGUGUAGACAGCUUACUGGACCACUUCUGACGCUGAGACACGAAAGCGUGGGUAGCAAACAGG
RNAcentral lists this ribosomal RNA (253 nucleotides) under uncultured bacterium. RNAcentral's name for it is "partial 16S ribosomal RNA". It matches the Rfam family "Bacterial small subunit ribosomal RNA", at positions 524 to 776 of the family's 1533-position model. The record is from RNAcentral.